UGAUUUUUCUCACGUGCAUUAUAAUGGAUAUUCAAGAUUUGACUGAAGGAAAAGAGAAUGACAAAUCACUUAAUUGAAAAGAAAACACAACUGAUGGUGAUUUAAAUCAAACAUAAAAAGCACAUUCCAUCAAAGAUCAGAAAAAACCAUAGAGUGUUUACAGAAACAAAUCUGAUGAAACUCAAGUUCAUGAUCAGUUGGAAGACCAAAAUGAAACCUAGAAAAGAUCUUCUAUAUUCAUCCCAAGACAAAGAAUGUAACAUAACAGUGAAAUGACAGACAUAGAAACAGAGAAAACUCUGAGAACAUAAUCAUAAAUAAAUUGGAAAAGGAACCACAAAUAUAACACAAAAGCACAGUCAAUCACAGAAAAAUUCAGGAAAACAAAUCCAGUGAAACUCAAUAUUGAUCAUCACUCCAAAGAACAAAGUCAAGAAAAAUGAUCCU
RNAcentral lists this long non-coding RNA (447 nucleotides) under Olea europaea (common olive). Its description in RNAcentral is "long non-coding RNA (OEUR_LNC009354)". The record is from RNAcentral. Lineage: Eukaryota; Viridiplantae; Streptophyta; Magnoliopsida; Lamiales; Oleaceae.